RNAcentral lists this ribosomal RNA (460 nucleotides) under uncultured bacterium. RNAcentral describes it as "partial 16S ribosomal RNA". It matches the Rfam family "Bacterial small subunit ribosomal RNA", at positions 338 to 795 of the family's 1533-position model. The record is from RNAcentral.
CCUACGGGUGGCAGCAGUGAGGAAUAUUGGUCAAUGGACGCAAGUCUGAACCAGCCAUGCCGCGUGCAGGAAGACGACUCUAUGAGUUGUAAACUGCUUUUGUACGAGGGUAAACGCAGAUACGUGUAUCUGUCUGAAAGUAUCGUACGAAUAAGGAUCGGCUAACUCCGUGCCAGCAGCCGCGGUAAUACGGAGGAUUCGAGCGUUAUCCGGAUUUAUUGGGUUUAAAGGGUGCGUAGGCGGUGGGAUAAGUUAGAGGUGAAAUGCCGGGGCUCAACCUCGGAACUGCCUCUAAUACUGUUGGACUAGAGAGUAGUUGCGGUAGGCGGAAUGUAUGGUGUAGCGGUGAAAUGCUUAGAGAUCAUACAGAACACCGAUUGCGAAGGCAGCUUACCAAGCUACAUCUGACGUUGAGGCACGAAAGCGUGGGUAGCAAACAGGAUUAGAUACCCGAGUAGUC